UACGUAGGGGGCAAGCGUUGUCCGGAAUUAUUGGGCGUAAAGAGCGCGUAGGCGGUCCGAUAAGUCGGCUGUGAAAGUCGGGGGCUCAACCCUCGAAUGCCGGUGGAUACUGUCGGGCUAGAGUGCGGAAGAGGCGAGUGGAAUUCCUGGUGUAGCGGUGAAAUGCGCAGAUAUCAGGAGGAACACCUAUUGCGAAGGCAGCUCGCUGGGACGUUACUGACGCUGAGACGCGAAAGCGUGGGGAGCAAACAGG
This 253-nucleotide ribosomal RNA is filed under the name uncultured bacterium. Its description in RNAcentral is "partial 16S ribosomal RNA". It matches the Rfam family "Bacterial small subunit ribosomal RNA", at positions 524 to 776 of the family's 1533-position model. The record is from RNAcentral.